AGAGUUUGAUCCUGGCUCAGAACGAACGCUGCGGCGUGGAUAAGACAUGCAAGUCGAACGAGAUUUUCCGCUGUAGCAAUACGAUGGAAAGUUUAGUGGCGAACGGGUGCUUAACACGUGGGCAACCUGCCAUGAAGUGGGGGAUAGCUCGCCGAAAGGCGAAUUAAUACCGCAUGUGAUUAGAGAGGACAUCCUUUCGAAAUUAAAGUCGGGGCAACCUGACGCUUCUUGUGGGGCCCGCGGCCUAUCAGCUAGUUGGUGAGGUAACGGCUCACCAAGGCUUUGACGGGUAGCUGGUCUGAGAGGACGACCAGCCACACUGGAACUGAGACACGGUCCAGACACCUACGGGUGGCAGCAGUCGAGAAUUUUUCUCAAUGGGCGAAAGCCUGAAGGAGCGACGCCGCGUGGGGGAUGAAUGGCUUCGGCCCGUAAACCCCUGUCAUUUGUGACCAAACCUUCCGAUCUAAAAAGUCGGAAGCUGAUGGUAGCGGAAGAGGAAGGGACGGCUAACUCUGUGCCAGCAGCCGCGGUAAUACAGAGGUCCCAAGCGUUGUUCGGAUUCACUGGGCGUAAAGGGUGCGUAGGUGGUCGGGUAAGUCUGAUGUGAAAUCUCCGAGCUUAACUCGGAAAUGGCAUUGGAUACUAUUUGACUAGAGGGUUGGAGGGGGGACUGGAAUUCUCGGUGUAGCAGUGAAAUGCGUAGAUAUCGAGAGGAACACCAGUGGCGAAGGCGAGUCCCUGGACAACUCCUGACACUGAGGCACGAAAGCUAGGGGAGCAAACAGGAUUAGAUACCCUAGUAGUCC
Molecule: ribosomal RNA, 809 nt
Filed under: uncultured bacterium
Lineage: Bacteria
Description: bacterial SSU rRNA
Rfam family: Bacterial small subunit ribosomal RNA
Source: RNAcentral